GGAUACAGUAAGCAAAGAGGUCAAGAUUACUACUGUACCGUACAUGUAUAACCACUUAUAGGUCAUAUAUACUUCCAUUGGUCAGGAUGCAGUGCAGUAACACCCCCCAACCCUCAGCUUCUCCCCCACCAGGUGGGUUGUGGAGCUGCUGAUUGAAGUGAACUUCACCUGUUUUCGGUAAAAGAGGUAGAACAUCAAUAGACUGAGAAGCAAUGGCCUGGUCCUGCCUGAGGCAACUGGCAUAGAGCUCCCUCCUCUCAAGCAGCAGAGUGGUGCACCCUUAAUACCCUGCGUUAGCCCCAUCUGCCUCUCUGUGAAGAUCAGCUCACGCUCGAGCCAGUGCCUCCAGCCUGCGGCUACGUGCGAAGGGCUGAGUCUCAUGACUCCAGAAGCAGAAAUGGACACAAAGAGAACUCAAGACUGUCUGGGUGACCUUGAAGACAAACUGAAAGGUAUCAUUUGUACAGGUGAUGGGAAAACAAGAGAAAACAGGAUAGGAGAAAGGAAAUGUCAAAAUACCAUCCUCAGGUUCCUUCCCAUACUCUACAGUGAGUUAAUACUCGGUGUCUCCUGUUUUCUGGGAUAGAUUCCAAGCUCAACUUGACCUAGUACAUGAU
This is a long non-coding RNA of Paramormyrops kingsleyae, 617 nucleotides long. RefSeq lists it as uncharacterized. The record is from RefSeq and is a predicted model, not a curated record. NCBI's taxonomy places the organism in Eukaryota, Metazoa, Chordata, Actinopteri, Osteoglossiformes, Mormyridae.